This is a non-coding RNA of Otolemur garnettii (small-eared galago), 283 nucleotides long. The record is from Rfam. Lineage: Eukaryota; Metazoa; Chordata; Mammalia; Primates; Galagidae.
GCUGGACAUGGUGGCGCAUGCCUCUAGUCCCAGCUACACAGGAAGCUGAGACAGGAGGAUUGCUUGAGUCCAGGAGUUCUGGGCCGUAGUGCUCUAUGCCUAUCGGGUGUCUGCACUAAGUUUGGCAUCACUCCUAGGAGUGGGGGGCCACCAGUUUGCCUAGGGAGAGGUGAACUGGCCUAGGUCGGAAAUGGAGCAGGUCAAAACUCCCGUGCUGAUCAGUAAUGGGAUCGCGCCUGUGAAUAGCCACUGCACUCCAGCAUGGGCAACAUAGCGAGACCAA